This 1245-nucleotide ribosomal RNA is filed under the name metagenome. RNAcentral's name for it is "bacterial LSU rRNA". It matches the Rfam family "Bacterial large subunit ribosomal RNA", at positions 1564 to 2819 of the family's 2925-position model. The record is from RNAcentral.
UGAGUACGAGAGGCUACGGCCUCGAAGCAGUCUAUGUCAUACUUCCAAGAAAAGCUUGCAAUGUCAUAAACAAAUAAUGCCUGUACCAUAACCGACACAGGUGGGUAGGUAGAGUAUACUAAGGGGCGCGAGAUGACUCUCUCUAAGGAACUCGGCAAAAUGACUCCGUAACUUCGGGAGAAGGAGUGCCUUAUUUAUAAGGUUGCAAUAACAAGAUCCAAGCAACUGUUUACCAAAAACACAGGUCUCCGCUAAGUCGUAAGACGAUGUAUGGGGGCUGACGCCUGCCCAGUGCCAGAAGGUUAAAGAAGUUGGUUAGCAUUAGCGAAGCUGAUAACUGAAGCCCUGGUGAACGGCGGCCGUAACGAUAACGGUCCUAAGGUAGCGAAAUUCCUUGUCGGGUAAGUUCCGACCCGCACGAAAGGCGUAAUGAUUUGGAUACUGUCUCGGAGAGAGGCUCGGUGAAAUAGACUUGCCUGUGAAGAUGCGGACUACCUGCACCUGGACAGAAAGACCCUAUGAAGCUUUACUGUAACUUGAAAUUGAAAUUGGACUUUAUUUGCGCAGUAUAGGUGGGAGGCGUUGAGAGUAUUCUUGCGGGAAUAUUGGAGCCAUCAGUGAGAUACCACUCUUGUAAUGUUAGAUUUCUAACUUUGGAUCAUUAUCUGGUCAAAGGACAGUUUCAGGCGGGCAGUUUGACUGGGGCGGUCGCCUCCCAAACGGUAACGGAGGCGUACAAAGGUUUCCUCUGAACGGGUAGAAAUCGUAUCUAGAGUGUAAAGGCAUAAGGAAGCUUGACUGUGAGACCUACAAGUCGAGCAGGGACGAAAGUCGGUCUUAGUGAUCUGACGGUGCUGAGUGGAAAGGCCGUCACUCAACGGAUAAAAGUUACUCUAGGAUAACAGGCUGAUCUCCCCCAAGAGUUCACAUCUACGGGGAGGUUUGGCACCUCGAUGUCGGCUCAUCGCAUCCUGGGGCGGUAGUACGUCCCAAGGGUUGGGCUGUUCGCCCAUGAAAGCGGUACGCGAGCUGGGUUCAGAACGUCGUGAGACAGUUCGGUCCAUAUCCGGUGUAGGCGUUAGAAUAUUGAGAGGAGCCUUCUUUAGUACGAGAGGACCGAGAAGGACAUACCUCUGGUGUACCAGUUAUCGUGCCAACGGUAAACGCUGGGUAGCUAUGUGUGGAGAGGAUAACCGCUGAAAGCAUCUAAGUGGGAAGCCCACCUCAAGAUAAGUAUUCUCACAG